Molecule: long non-coding RNA, 411 nt
Filed under: Brassica napus (rape)
Lineage: Eukaryota; Viridiplantae; Streptophyta; Magnoliopsida; Brassicales; Brassicaceae
Description: long non-coding RNA (BNAP_LNC016338)
Source: RNAcentral
UGAGCCAUACUUUACGAGCUGAGUAACUGGGUCGAGCGUUCAAGCUAUUGAGCUGAGCUCGUGGUGCCGAGUAAAGUCAAGCCACUCAGCCGUGUACGAGUAUCGAGCUGAUUGGCGCCGAGUGGCGUUGAGUCGAACCGAUUAAAUAGGCUGAGUGUUUUUAUUUGAGGGGCUUUGUGAAGGGAUGUAAUACAUCUCCCACAUUAGAGUAAUCAUUGGUUGAAUUCUUAAGUUAAGUAUUUAAAUAAUAAUAAUGGUUAUUUUAUUAAAUAAUUUAAAUUUAAAUUAAAAAUAAAAAAAUACACCAAUGAAAAACAAAUACAUAAGAAAAUAAGUUCGAAAGAGGUUCUCAAAAGCUCUCAAUUAAACGAUUUAAGUGCUCUUAGGUAGGAGUGGGCACUGAUCGAUUCA